Molecule: long non-coding RNA, 936 nt
Organism: Trichechus manatus latirostris (Florida manatee)
Lineage: Eukaryota; Metazoa; Chordata; Mammalia; Sirenia; Trichechidae
Exons: 5
Source: RefSeq, a predicted model, not a curated record
GCUCCAUUGUGAUGGCUUUCUUUAUGAACCCAGGCAGUCUGACUUCGGAGUCCAUGUGCAAACCACUACACUACACCGCCUCACGCAAGAGGAGAGACUGCUCAAGAUGCCACAAUUGAGGAAAUGCUCAACCCACUCACCCCACAGUGAUGCACACAGAGUGUACAGCUUCCUAGUGCUUUCCUCUUAAGGAUGAGCUGGCAGCCACAGAUAACAAGGCCAUAGACGGAAGCCUAUAAUUGGAACCAGAGACUCCAAAAUAAGCAAACAAACAGGGAGAAAAAACACUCAGGGAAACACCAAAGGAACAUAAGAAAAAAAAAAAAAAACUAUAAUUAAUACUCCCAGAAAGAUAAGAGAAGACAUUGCAUCCUUGAAACAGACCAGGAGGUUCUAAAGGAGUGAACACCCAACAAACAAAAAAGAGCUCUUGAAUACUAAGCCAGGAGGGAUUAGCGGGGGCGAUUCCAAAUGCCCUCCUCUAACUGACUAUAACUUGAUAAGUGCUUCGGAUCAUCAGGAAGUUGGGGCAACUCCUGGCGCAUUCUGUCAAUUUAUUCUAAUCGUAUGGCAUCUGGAAGAAGUAUCUGGAAUGAUAUAUGGUCACCCAAAGCCUGAGAGAUAGGACGAUAGGACUGUAAGUGUGGAACUCAUCAAAGGUCUUUUGUAUGAAAUGUGCUCUCACCAAAAAUUUCAGAAACAGAAGAUUGAUGGCAUGUACUGUUGAGUCUUUCUCUUAAGGUGGACAUCUUCGUGCAGAGCCGUCCGGAGGAUGUGUGCUGUCCUAAGGGGAGUUAUACUGCAAGCCUCGAUUUCUUUGUUUGGAAAAUGAAACAUCUGACAACUGCAUGGGUCUUGUUCAAGUACCAGCAACCACUGAAUUGGGCCUAGCCAGUCACACACCCAGUCCUCAUCUGAUGAGACCUUCAUACCAUC